Molecule: long non-coding RNA, 353 nt
Filed under: Manihot esculenta (cassava)
Lineage: Eukaryota; Viridiplantae; Streptophyta; Magnoliopsida; Malpighiales; Euphorbiaceae
Description: long non-coding RNA (MESC_LNC011210)
Source: RNAcentral
AAACAAUUCACAUAAGGGUUGGGUGAACUUGUCACCAAUUAGUCCAAGUUAACUCUGUGCCAGGCCUGUAGAAUGGGGUCCUGGUCUUUCCUGUCAGAACAUACAUUACUUACCAUUUUCCCAGGGCCUCCUCUGGGCUCCUGGUCUUCAAGUCCCAUAACCGUGCAAGACCAUAGGAUGGGAUCCUGGUCUUUCCUUACUCUGUGCCAGGCCUGUAGAAUGGGGCCUGGUCUUUCUUACUCUGUGCCAGGCCUGUAGCAUGGGGCCUGGUCUUCCUGUCAUGGACUAACUGGGUCAUCCGACAUUCACCCGCAACAACAAUAAAUUAUGCAAUGCGGCAUAUUCGUGAAAAC